GAUGAACGCUGGCGGCGUGCUUAACGCAUGCAAGUCGAACGAAGCACCUUGAUUUGAUUCUUCGGAUGAAGAUCCUGGUGACUGAGUGGCGGACGGGUGAGUAACGCGUGGGUAACCUGCCUCAUACAGGGGGAUAACAGUUAGAAAUGACUGCUAAUACCGCAUAAGACCACAGCACCGCAUGGUGCAGGGGUAAAAACUCCGGUGGUAUGAGAUGGACCCGCGUCUGAUUAGGUAGUUGGUGGGGUAACGGCCUACCAAGCCGACGAUCAGUAGCCGACCUGAGAGGGUGACCGGCCACAUUGGGACUGAGACACGGCCCAAACUCCUACGGGAGGCAGCAGUGGGGAAUAUUGCACAAUGGGGGAAACCCUGAUGCAGCGACGCCGCGUGAGCGAUGAAGUAUUUCGGUAUGUAAAGCUCUAUCAGCAGGGAAGAAAAUGACGGUACCUGACUAAGAAGCACCG
RNAcentral lists this ribosomal RNA (467 nucleotides) under uncultured bacterium. RNAcentral describes it as "bacterial SSU rRNA". It matches the Rfam family "Bacterial small subunit ribosomal RNA", at positions 28 to 495 of the family's 1533-position model. The record is from RNAcentral.